GGGCCCGCACAAGCAGCGGAGCGUGUUGCUUAAUUCGAUGCAACGCGAAGAACCUUACCAGGGUUUGACAUCCUGCGAAUCUCUUGGAAACAGGAGAGUGCCUUCGGGAACGCAGUGACAGGUGGUGCAUGGCCGUCGUCAGCUCGUGUCGUGAGAUGUUGGGUUAAGUCCCGCAACGAGCGCAACCCACGUCUUUAGUUGCCAGCAUUUAGUUGGGCACUCUAGAGAGACUGCCGGUGAUAAACCGGAGGAAGGUGUGGAUGACGUCAAGUCAUCAUGCCCCUUACAUCCUGGGCUACACACGUACUACAAUGCUACGGACAAAGGGCAACAAACUCGCGAGAGCUAGCAAAUCCCAUAAACCGUGGCUCAGUUCAGAUCGUAGGCUGCAACUCGCCUACGUGAAGGAGGAAUCGCUAGUAAUCGCAGGUC
This 432-nucleotide ribosomal RNA is filed under the name uncultured bacterium. Its description in RNAcentral is "bacterial SSU rRNA". It matches the Rfam family "Bacterial small subunit ribosomal RNA", at positions 917 to 1350 of the family's 1533-position model. The record is from RNAcentral.